UUAAAAUUGAUGAAAAUGUUUUGUGAAAUUGCACGAGCAACAAAUUUUUGAAACUAAAUUCCUUUUAUGUCAAUUUGUUGAUUUUGAAUGUUAGAUUUUGGAAUAGUUAGACGCAAUUCAUUCGGAGACACUACUACAUGUAUUGUAAAUUCAAAGUGUUGUGGCUUGUAGUAUAUUAUCAAUACUAGUAUAUCUUCAUAUAGUGAUAUAGUGUUCGGUUUUGACGUACUGAUAAUAAGAGGACUAAUUGUAAGAGCAGCCUAAUGAGAUGCCGAAUAGAAUUUGUACUGUCUCGCGGAUUCUAUAGGGUUAAUCUGGUUAAUGAACAAUAGGAAAAAGAAUUCUAGUCCUAUCUCAUUGGAUAUUUAAUUGACUUUGAUUAACGUGAUGCGAAGCACUUCCAAUAAUGUGAUAAAAAAAUGUUUCGAAUACAAGUCAAUCAGCUUCCAAUAGGCUGAAAAUUAGUACAAAGAUAAGAAAUUUCCCAAAAGGGAUAAAAAGUCAAAGUCACCUUGACUUUUUUAAAUGAGACACACUAUAUUUUCAAUUUCAUACUAUUGUAGCUGAUAUUAAGACAAAUUCAACAACCUAUUAUAAGAGUUCCUUUAGAUUUCACACAACUAUUUAUAUUUAAUUUAA
Molecule: long non-coding RNA, 639 nt
Organism: Bombus impatiens (common eastern bumble bee)
Lineage: Eukaryota; Metazoa; Arthropoda; Insecta; Hymenoptera; Apidae
Exons: 2
Source: RefSeq, a predicted model, not a curated record